UAAACUUUGAAUUUUGAAAUGAGAGAAGAUAUAUUGACAGUGGAAACACAAAACAUGGCGGUUGAAUAAAACGGAUUGCGAUUCAAAAUAAAAAUCAGAACUCAUAACUCAGUUAUCAAUACUCACUGUGCAUUUUCUGCAAGCACUUACCAACUCAUGUUUCUUUGUGUGUGAAAUAAAAAAGACGAGUACAUGAAUUAAAUUUCAUCAUUCAAUGCUCUCAACAACUCAAUGCUCUUCGAAUUCAUUUGUGCCCACACAUUUUCCUUUUCUUCACUUUCUCGCACUCUUUCGAUCAUGCAGGUGGAUAUGGUGAAAUUGAAGAUUCUCGAGUUCAAAUUAGUCACAAGCGCUCUAAGAGUGCUUCUGACAGGAACCUGAAAAUCUCAAGGAGUGGAGUUUUUCAUGCUGUAGAGAAAGACCAAGAUGAAUCUCUUGUAUCACCAUCUUCCGUGAGGACUUCAAGGCUGCGAAGUCCUUUGCAUGACAACCUUAGUUGUACAAACAAUAGUACUGUUUCAAGUAAUAGAGCAUCCUUGGAAAAAGAUGUUGAGCAGCUACAGUCACGCCUACAACAAGAGAAGUCUAUGCGUUUGCUGCUCGAGAGGGCAAUGGGCCGAGCCUCAAGUGCUUUAUCUCCUGGACACAGGCACUUUGCUGCUCAGACAAAAGACUUGAUUGCUGAAAUUGAGUUACUUGAAGAGGAGGUUACAAGCCGUGAGCAGCAUGUGCUUUCUAUGUACAGAAGUAUUUUUGAACAGUGUAUUAGCCGGCCAACUUCUGAACAAAAUUCUGUUGUCGCUUCACCUGCUCAUACAAGGCAUGAAUCCAGGAAGCAUCCAAGUAUAAUUUCAAAUGUUUUCUGUUCAUCAAAAAAAUUCCCCCUGCGAGCUCUAAUUUCUAAUAAUGACCUGAAGAAUAGAAUUUUUGGGUCAAAUCAUGCUCCUUCAUCCAGUGGCAAAUGCAAAAUGUAUUCUGGAAAGACUUGCCCUGAUUCUACCAAGAUUCGGGAGAAGUUUUCUAGGAUGGAAAGCACUCCAGUAUUGCGAACUUUAAAAGACCAUCUAUACCAGUGUCCAAGCAGGCUGUCUGAGGAGAUGGUGAAGUGUAUGGCCACUGUAUAUUGCUGGCUCCGUAGUGCAACCUCUGCAAACCUUGAAGACGGUAGGUCGCCUUUAUUGUCAAGGUCAUCCACUAUUGGUAUGCAGCCUCAACAUGGCAUUGGAGAGGAUCGAGACCGGUCUUGCAAAUCAGCUGUGGAAAUAUCAUGGAUAUCUUCUCGCAAGCGUCAUUCUUCUCAUGCUUCUUAUGCCAUCAACAAUUACAGGUUGAUUCUUCGACUAUGAUAAUUUCAAAUAAGAUGUUAAAGUAGGAGCACCGAAAAUCAAUUACUGUUGAGGUGAAUUCACUUGGAUUAUUAAAUCCAAAUUGGGCCUUCAAAUUAUUUCGUUGCUUGGAAAAUUUGAAAGUUAUCUAGUAGUCCUCUAUCCUGUACAAAGGGUUUUGAAGGCUGCAGGGGAUAAUCCACCAUCACAGAAAAAGAAAGAAACUACUGAAACUAGAUGACAGAGCAUGCAACAAAGCAUAUCACUUCCUCUGCAUGUCUACUGUAGAAACCCGGCUAAAAUAUACCAUGGACAUAGCACCAAAGGAACCCCAAGACCUUUCUUUAUUGGUUUUGAGCCAGAUAUGUCUUUGCCUCUGCACCACCUCCCCUAAAUAUCUUGUGUUUCACAGUUUGAUGUUUUAGCAUUUCUGGAAGUCACGUUAAAAAGUAGGGUCUUUACAUGUGCAUAUGCUCUUGUAAAUCCACUUUUUCAUUAUAAUUAGUGGAUUUUUAGGAAAAAUAGAAUUUGGAUACUAUCAUGGGCAGUUCUUUUUCUUGUUGUUGUAGUAGUAGGCCACAGUAAGAAGAAUCAAUCAUAUGAUGACCAAAGAAAACUUGGAGAAGUGAGAAGCAAUAUAACAAACCUUUUCUAAAUUGCGUUUCUGAAAAUUUAGCUGUUGACAUAACUCAAUGGUGUCGAUAAAUCUAACCUCUAGGUGUUGGGAGGAUUUUUCAGUCUUAGUUUUUUAGGUACCUGUUAUUUUGUUCAAGCUUGUGCUUAAGUUCUUAUGAUUGAAUUGUUGACUUGAC
This 2137-nucleotide long non-coding RNA is filed under the name Lupinus mutabilis. Its description in RNAcentral is "partial ncRNA". The record is from RNAcentral. Lineage: Eukaryota; Viridiplantae; Streptophyta; Magnoliopsida; Fabales; Fabaceae.